CACGUAGUUAGCCGGGGCUUCUUAGUCAGGUACCGUCCAAAGUCCGAAGGACUUUAUUUCUUCCCUGCUGAUAGAGCUUUACAUACCGAAAUACUUCUUCACUCACGCGGCGUCGCUGCAUCAGGGUUUCCCCCAUUGUGCAAUAUUCCCCACUGCUGCCUCCCGUAGGAGUUUGGGCCGUGUCUCAGUCCCAAUGUGGCCGUUCACCCUCUCAGGCCGGCUACUGAUCGUUGCCUUGGUGGGCCUUUACCCCGCCAACAAGCUAAUCAGACGCGGAUCCAUCGUAUACCACCAAAAGCUUUAGCUUUUUGUUUCCACACUGCUUUCAUGCGAAGCUAUGCGCUUAUGCGGUAUUAGCACCUAUUUCUAAGUGUUAUUCCCCAGUAUACGGCAGGUUCUCCACGCGUUACUCACCCGUCCGCCACUAACUCAUACAUCACUAGGUUUCAAUAUGAGUCCGUUCGACUUGCAUGUGUUAAGCACGCCGCCACGCGUUCAUCCUGAGCC
This 507-nucleotide ribosomal RNA is filed under the name uncultured Lachnospiraceae bacterium. Its description in RNAcentral is "partial 16S ribosomal RNA". The record is from RNAcentral. Lineage: Bacteria; Bacillati; Bacillota; Clostridia; Lachnospirales; Lachnospiraceae.